AGUGAACUUGCUAGGUCAUAUGGUACCUCUCUGUUUAACUUUUUGAGGAAUAGCCAAAUUGUUUUCCUAAGUGGCUAUGCCAUUUUACUUUCCAUCCAGCAAU
This 103-nucleotide microRNA precursor is filed under the name Marmota monax (woodchuck). The record is from RNAcentral. Lineage: Eukaryota; Metazoa; Chordata; Mammalia; Rodentia; Sciuridae.